RNAcentral lists this ribosomal RNA (2269 nucleotides) under Escherichia coli. RNAcentral's name for it is "bacterial LSU rRNA". It matches the Rfam family "Bacterial large subunit ribosomal RNA", at positions 353 to 2536 of the family's 2925-position model. Lineage: Bacteria; Pseudomonadati; Pseudomonadota; Gammaproteobacteria; Enterobacterales; Enterobacteriaceae. The record is from RNAcentral.
CGCGAUACAGGGUGACAGCCCCGUACACAAAAAUGCACAUGCUGUGAGCUCGAUGAGUAGGGCGGGACACGUGGUAUCCUGUCUGAAUAUGGGGGGACCAUCCUCCAAGGCUAAAUACUCCUGACUGACCGAUAGUGAACCAGUACCGUGAGGGAAAGGCGAAAAGAACCCCGGCGAGGGGAGUGAAAAAGAACCUGAAACCGUGUACGUACAAGCAGUGGGAGCACGCUUAGGCGUGUGACUGCGUACCUUUUGUAUAAUGGGUCAGCGACUUAUAUUCUGUAGCAAGGUUAACCGAAUAGGGGAGCCGAAGGGAAACCGAGUCUUAACUGGGCGUUAAGUUGCAGGGUAUAGACCCGAAACCCGGUGAUCUAGCCAUGGGCAGGUUGAAGGUUGGGUAACACUAACUGGAGGACCGAACCGACUAAUGUUGAAAAAUUAGCGGAUGACUUGUGGCUGGGGGUGAAAGGCCAAUCAAACCGGGAGAUAGCUGGUUCUCCCCGAAAGCUAUUUAGGUAGCGCCUCGUGAAUUCAUCUCCGGGGGUAGAGCACUGUUUCGGCAAGGGGGUCAUCCCGACUUACCAACCCGAUGCAAACUGCGAAUACCGGAGAAUGUUAUCACGGGAGACACACGGCGGGUGCUAACGUCCGUCGUGAAGAGGGAAACAACCCAGACCGCCAGCUAAGGUCCCAAAGUCAUGGUUAAGUGGGAAACGAUGUGGGAAGGCCCAGACAGCCAGGAUGUUGGCUUAGAAGCAGCCAUCAUUUAAAGAAAGCGUAAUAGCUCACUGGUCGAGUCGGCCUGCGCGGAAGAUGUAACGGGGCUAAACCAUGCACCGAAGCUGCGGCAGCGACACUAUGUGUUGUUGGGUAGGGGAGCGUUCUGUAAGCCUGUGAAGGUGUGCUGUGAGGCAUGCUGGAGGUAUCAGAAGUGCGAAUGCUGACAUAAGUAACGAUAAAGCGGGUGAAAAGCCCGCUCGCCGGAAGACCAAGGGUUCCUGUCCAACGUUAAUCGGGGCAGGGUGAGUCGACCCCUAAGGCGAGGCCGAAAGGCGUAGUCGAUGGGAAACAGGUUAAUAUUCCUGUACUUGGUGUUACUGCGAAGGGGGGACGGAGAAGGCUAUGUUGGCCGGGCGACGGUUGUCCCGGUUUAAGCGUGUAGGCUGGUUUUCCAGGCAAAUCCGGAAAAUCAAGGCUGAGGCGUGAUGACGAGGCACUACGGUGCUGAAGCAACAAAUGCCCUGCUUCCAGGAAAAGCCUCUAAGCAUCAGGUAACAUCAAAUCGUACCCCAAACCGACACAGGUGGUCAGGUAGAGAAUACCAAGGCGCUUGAGAGAACUCGGGUGAAGGAACUAGGCAAAAUGGUGCCGUAACUUCGGGAGAAGGCACGCUGAUAUGUAGGUGAGGUCCCUCGCGGAUGGAGCUGAAAUCAGUCGAAGAUACCAGCUGGCUGCAACUGUUUAUUAAAAACACAGCACUGUGCAAACACGAAAGUGGACGUAUACGGUGUGACGCCUGCCCGGUGCCGGAAGGUUAAUUGAUGGGGUCAGCGCAAGCGAAGCUCUUGAUCGAAGCCCCGGUAAACGGCGGCCGUAACUAUAACGGUCCUAAGGUAGCGAAAUUNCGCAAGGCGAAGCUCUUGAUCGAAGCCCCGGUAAACGGCGGCCGUAACUAUAACGGUCCUAAGGUAGCGAAAUUCCUUGUCGGGUAAGUUCCGACCUGCACGAAUGGCGUAAUGAUGGCCAGGCUGUCUCCACCCGAGACUCAGUGAAAUUGAACUCGCUGUGAAGAUGCAGUGUACCCGCGGCAAGACGGAAAGACCCCGUGAACCUUUACUAUAGCUUGACACUGAACAUUGAGCCUUGAUGUGUAGGAUAGGUGGGAGGCUUAGAAGUGUGGACGCCAGUCUGCAUGGAGCCGACCUUGAAAUACCACCCUUUAAUGUUUGAUGUUCUAACGUUGACCCGUAAUCCGGGUUGCGGACAGUGUCUGGUGGGUAGUUUGACUGGGGCGGUCUCCUCCUAAAGAGUAACGGAGGAGCACGAAGGUUGGCUAAUCCUGGUCGGACAUCAGGAGGUUAGUGCAAUGGCAUAAGCCAGCUUGACUGCGAGCGUGACGGCGCGAGCAGGUGCGAAAGCAGGUCAUAGUGAUCCGGUGGUUCUGAAUGGAAGGGCCAUCGCUCAACGGAUAAAAGGUACUCCGGGGAUAACAGGCUGAUACCGCCCAAGAGUUCAUAUCGACGGCGGUGUUUGGCACCUCGAUGUCGGC